AUUGAACGCUGGCGGCAUGCUUUACACAUGCAAGUCGAACGGUAACAGGCCUUCGGGUGCUGACGAGUGGCGAACGGGUGAGUAAUGCAUCGGAACGUGCCCAGAGGUGGGGGAUAACGCAGCGAAAGCUGUGCUAAUACCGCAUGUGAUCUGAGGAUGAAAGCGGGGGACCAGGCAGCAAUGUUUGGCCUCGCGCCUUUGGAGCGGCCGAUGUCAGAUUAGGUAGUUGGUGGGGUAAAGGCCUACCAAGCCGACGAUCUGUAGCUGGUCUGAGAGGACGACCAGCCACACGGGGAGUGAGACAGCGCCCAGCCUCCUGCGGGGGGAAGCAGGGGGGAUUUUGGGAAAAGGGGGGCAGGCCUGACCCAGCAAGGCCGCGGGCGGAAAGAGGGCCUUGGGUUUGUAAACCUUUUUUGUAGGGAAGAAAAAGGCUCGGGCUAAUCCCGGGGGCUGAGGACGGUACCGAAAAAAAAGGCCCGGGCAAGUUACGGG
RNAcentral lists this ribosomal RNA (492 nucleotides) under uncultured bacterium. Its description in RNAcentral is "partial 16S ribosomal RNA". It matches the Rfam family "Bacterial small subunit ribosomal RNA", at positions 29 to 507 of the family's 1533-position model. The record is from RNAcentral.